Molecule: ribosomal RNA, 546 nt
Filed under: uncultured bacterium
Lineage: Bacteria
Description: partial 16S ribosomal RNA
Rfam family: Bacterial small subunit ribosomal RNA
Source: RNAcentral
UGGGGAAUUUUGGACAAUGGGCGAAAGCCUGAUCCAGCAAUGCCGCGUGUGUGAAGAAGGCCUUCGGGUUGUAAAGCACUUUUGUCCGGAAAGAAAUGGCUCUGGUUAAUACCUGGGGUCGAUGACGGUACCGGAAGAAUAAGGACCGGCUAACUACGUGCCAGCAGCCGCGGUAAUACGUAGGGUCCAAGCGUUAAUCGGAAUUACUGGGCGUAAAGCGUGCGCAGGCGGUUGUGCAAGACCGAUGUGAAAUCCCCGAGCUUAACUUGGGAAUUGCAUUGGUGACUGCACGGCUAGAGUGUGUCAGAGGGGGGUAGAAUUCCACGUGUAGCAGUGAAAUGCGUAGAGAUGUGGAGGAAUAUCGAUGGCGAAGGCAGCCCCCUGGGAUAACACUGACGCUCAUGCACGAAAGCGUGGGGAGCAAACAGGAUUAGAUACCCUGGUAGUCCACGCCCUAAACGAUGUCAACUAGUUGUUGGGAUUCAUUUCCUUAGUAACGUAGCUAACGCGUGAAGUUGACCGCCUGGGGAGUACGGUCGCAAGAUU